Molecule: long non-coding RNA, 1510 nt
Organism: Medicago truncatula (barrel medic)
Lineage: Eukaryota; Viridiplantae; Streptophyta; Magnoliopsida; Fabales; Fabaceae
Exons: 2
Source: RefSeq, a predicted model, not a curated record
UGAUAUGAAAAUUAAAAACAACACAAAUAAAUUAUAACAAUUGCUAUUCUAGCUCUUUGCAUCGUUUCACCACCACCCAAUUGUCAGUCCAUACGAUUAGUGUUUGUUUGAAACACCUUGUUUUUUUGUAUAUUUGAUGUAGUUGUCAUAUAAACACAUAUAUCAUGGUUAAAAUGGUAUUAAAAGAACCAAAUAAAAAAUUUCAGGGUGAAAAUAUACAACAAAUCUAUAAAAUCAUAUAUACAAAAAGUAAUUGAAUCAAUUACAUAUAAAAAUGUAAGUUAACAACACAUAUGCUACAACAUAAAAAUAGCGACUAUCAAGGAAGAAAAAGUGUCGGUGUAAGAUCUUAGAGGAGUCAAAACAGGCUAUUGGAAAAAGUGUCUCUCUUUGAUUAUCUUGCUUGCUUUAUUUUGUUUAAACACUUUGCAAAAGAUUUUUAGAGAAAGCCAACAUAAUUCAACCCUCCCCCAUCCCACUAUUGCGUUUUUUUCCACCUUUUAUGUUAAGUUACGAUAUUUUGAUAGAUUUUUUUACGGAAUAUCUCCUAAAUUUAGAAAAAUCUAUCUUUGUGAUGGAAGCCACAAUUCUAAUAUUUUUAUCUAAUCAAUUUAGAAAAAUUUGAUCUACGAAAUCGAACCACUGAAAAUUAUAAUCUUUUUAGCUAAUCAAUUUAGAAAAAGAAAUUGGUAACCAUUUCAAGUCCUCGUAUAGGAUUUAUAGUUUUUAUUAUUCUAUAGAAAUCGUGCACUUGAAGCAUAUCAGUCUCCCUUUUGUGUCAUGUGAAAAGGUCAUAAAAUAAUGGAAACAUGGAAAUAAGAAUGAACUCUUCUAAUUGGUAAGUUUUUUAUAUGACCUCUUUAUUAAGCAUUAUACAGAGGCAAACAAUAUUUGUAUGUACUUAAGAGACAUUUAAUAAUAAUUCCUAUUUUAAGAUUUUUUUUUCCCAACUCCAUAAACCCUAAAACCUAUUAAAUGCAUAAAAGGAGACGACACGGUUUAUAAAUUAUAAAGUCAUAAAACCAUAUUCUAUUUCUCACAUGCAAAGGCGAAAAAAUAUGACUCAAAUUGUCAAGUUUGUUUAUAUUAUAAUUAUCUUUCUCUCUUUAUUUCAUGCUGCAAGGAAUGAUGACUACCAUUUGAAAUGUACGACUGAUUAUGAUUGUAGAGAAGGGUUCUGCCCAGAAGGUUUAGCUCCAAAGUGUUUUGUUAGUUUUGCUUUAGCCCGCUUCCUCUCAGAAGGCAGAUGUUUAUGUAUUUGAGUGAUGAGCCCAAUUGAUUCUAUUAUAAAAUGUCAUUAGCUAUCAUUUAGUUAUUAUAUUGGUGUUGAAGUUGAUUAUUUUUAUUAUUAGAAUAUGAAUUCCUAUCCACAGCCUCUUAUGUAAAAAACAGGGUAAGACUGCGUACAAUACACCAAUAAUGGUGGGAUCCCUUCCCGGACCCCGCAUAUGCGGGAGCUUUAGUGCACCGGGUUGUCCUUUAUGAAUACCUAUCAACAAUUAUCAACAAA